RNAcentral lists this ribosomal RNA (491 nucleotides) under uncultured bacterium. RNAcentral describes it as "partial 16S ribosomal RNA". It matches the Rfam family "Bacterial small subunit ribosomal RNA", at positions 29 to 506 of the family's 1533-position model. The record is from RNAcentral.
AGUGAACGCUGGCGGUAGGCCUAACACAUGCAAGUCGAACGGCAGCACAGUAAGAGCUUGCUCUUACGGGUGGCGAGUGGCGGACGGGUGAGGAAUACAUCGGAAUCUACUUUUUCGUGGGGGAUAACGUAGGGAAACUUACGCUAAUACCGCAUACGACCUACGGGUGAAAGCAGGGGAUCUUCGGACCUUGCGCGAUUGAAUGAGCCGAUGUCGGAUUAGCUAGUUGGCGGGGUAAAGGCCCACCAAGGCGACGAUCCGUAGCUGGUCUGAGAGGAUGAUCAGCCACACUGGAACUGAGACACGGUCCAGACUCCUACGGGAGGCAGCAGUGGGGAAUAUUGGACAAUGGGCGCAAGCCUGAUCCAGCCAUACCGCGUGGGUGAAGAAGGCCUGCGGGUUGUAAAGCCCUUUUGUUGGGAAAGAAAAGCAGCAGGUUAAGACCCCGCUGUUCGGACGGUACCCAAAGAAUAAGCACCGGCGAACUUCGU